Molecule: ribosomal RNA, 64 nt
Filed under: Conophyma sp. 1 ISS-2016
Lineage: Eukaryota; Metazoa; Arthropoda; Insecta; Orthoptera; Dericorythidae
Description: partial 5.8S ribosomal RNA
Source: RNAcentral
UUUCGAACGCACAUUGCGGUCCAUGGAUUCCGUUCCCGGGCCACGUCUGGCUGAGGGUCGGCAA